This 439-nucleotide ribosomal RNA is filed under the name uncultured bacterium. RNAcentral describes it as "partial 16S ribosomal RNA". It matches the Rfam family "Bacterial small subunit ribosomal RNA", at positions 339 to 795 of the family's 1533-position model. The record is from RNAcentral.
CUACGGGAUGCUCCAGUGGGGAAUAUUGGACAAUGGGCGCAAGCCUGAUCCAGCAAUGCCGCGUGAGUGAAGACGGCCUUAGGGUUGUAAAACUCUUUCGCUAGGGAAGAUAAUGACUGUACCUAGUAAAGAAGUCCCGGCUAACUCCGUGCCAGCAGCCGCGGUAAUACGGAGGGGACUAGCGUUGUUCGGAAUUACUGGGCGUAAAGAGUUCGUAGGCGGACUGACAAGUUAGAGGUGAAAUCCCAGGGCUCAACCCUGGAACUGCCUUUAAAACUGUCAGUCUAGAGACCGGAAGAGGUUAGGGGAAUACCUAGUGUAGAGGUGAAAUUCGUAGAUAUUAGGUGGAACACCAGUGGCGAAGGCGCCUAACUGGUCCGGUACUGACGCUGAGGAACGAAAGCGUGGGGAGCAAACAGGAUUAGAUACCCCCGUAGUC